This 71-nucleotide transfer RNA is filed under the name Marmota monax (woodchuck). It matches the Rfam family "tRNA". From Rfam's summary of the family: Transfer RNA (tRNA) molecules are approximately 80 nucleotides in length. The record is from Rfam by way of RNAcentral. Lineage: Eukaryota; Metazoa; Chordata; Mammalia; Rodentia; Sciuridae.
GGGGUUGUGGCUCAGUGGUACAGCACAUGCCUAGCAUGUAUGAGGCACUGGGUUCAACUCUCAGAACUGCA